Molecule: long non-coding RNA, 650 nt
Organism: Ornithodoros turicata
Lineage: Eukaryota; Metazoa; Arthropoda; Arachnida; Ixodida; Argasidae
Exons: 2
Source: RefSeq, a predicted model, not a curated record
ACGCGUCUUGAGCAGUCUUGCUCCUCAAAAAAAAAAAAAAAAAAAAAGCCACGCGCCAUCUUCGUAAUGAACCGAGAAAGAAGAUAACAAAAUGGUCGUCGCGGGGCCACCACGUGUGUUCCCUCCCGUGCGCCCAGCAGGAACUCGCGCUGCCCCUUCGAAAAACCUGUACGCCUGCCCGCCCAUCGCCUGGUGGCCUGAGCUCCCCAUAGCGUUAACUGCCAGUUCGGCGAACCCUCAAACCUCGCAGGGCCUCGCGACACCUGAAGACAAGUUCGGCCUCAUGUUGGAGUCAUCCACGAUGCAUCUGAUAGGACCCGAGGAGCACAGGCACCGAAUGGCCCAGACUCCCACAUCCAUGUCGGUUCAGCAAAGGCCACGACCGCUGCUGUCGUCCAGAGGCCUCUUUGUCUGUUCGCUCGUAGGCAUUGCAGUGAUUAUGAUCCUCUUUUUCGCCGUUGGAUUCUUCGCUUUGCAGCAUCGAGUCGCUGCCACCGUUGUUCGGAAUGUGCGCGGAUCCUAGGUCGAGCCACGGACUUUCCGACCACGGACUUUCAGACCUUUCCGACUCAUGUCGCAAGUGAAACAUUGUGUGGCCUUAACGAGGUUUUUUUGUCACGUACAGCGGUGCCAUUAAAAACGUGUCUUUG